UGUGUAGGUGGUUUGCUAAGUUGGGUGUUAAAUCUCUCGGCUCAACCGAGAGGUGUCGCUCAAAACUAGUAGACUGGAGGACGGUAGAGGAAGGUAGAAUUCCGGGUGUAGUGGUGAAAUGCGUAGAUAUCCGGAGGAAUACCAGUGGCGAAGGCGGCCUUCUGGACCGUUCCUGACACUCAGACACGAAAGCUAGGGUAGCAAACGGGAUUAGAAACCCCGGUAGUCCUAGCUGUAAACGAUGUGAACUUGGUGUUGGCGGGGUAAAACCUGUCGGUGCCGAAGCAAACGCGAUAAGUUCACCGCCUGGGGACUACGGCCGCAAGGUUAAA
RNAcentral lists this ribosomal RNA (332 nucleotides) under uncultured bacterium. RNAcentral describes it as "bacterial SSU rRNA". It matches the Rfam family "Bacterial small subunit ribosomal RNA", at positions 568 to 898 of the family's 1533-position model. The record is from RNAcentral.